AAUUUAUANGGAANCCNAAGGGUUAAAUCAUUCAUAUUUUAUUUNAAAUUGACUUGCUACAUGGAUAACCGGGGUAAUUCUAAACCUAAAACUUGCGUAAAGGCCCUUUCCGGGGCUGUAUUUAUUAUAUUUAUCCCAACCCGGNCGACCGGCAGGUGGUGAUUCAUAUNAACUGGGCUAAUCGCUGCGGCGAUGCAUCAUUCANAUUUCUGCCCNAUCNNUUUCGAUGGUAGGAUCGAGGCCUACCAUGGUGGCAACGGGUAGCGGGCAAUANGUAACGGGGAAUAA
Molecule: ribosomal RNA, 288 nt
Filed under: uncultured fungus
Lineage: Eukaryota; Fungi
Description: partial 18S ribosomal RNA
Rfam family: Eukaryotic small subunit ribosomal RNA
Source: RNAcentral